RNAcentral lists this ribosomal RNA (490 nucleotides) under uncultured bacterium. Its description in RNAcentral is "partial 16S ribosomal RNA". It matches the Rfam family "Bacterial small subunit ribosomal RNA", at positions 30 to 507 of the family's 1533-position model. The record is from RNAcentral.
AUUGAACGCCGGCGGCAGGCCUAACACAUGCAAGUCGAACGGUAACAGGAAGCAGCUUGCUGCUUCGCUGACGAGUGGCGGACGGGUGAGUAAUGUCUGGGAAACUGCCUGAUGGAGGGGGAUAACUACUGGAAACGGUAGCUAAUACCGCAUAACGUCGCAAGACCAAAGAGGGGGACCUUAGGGCCUCUUGCCAUCGGAUGUGCCCAGAUGGGAUUAGCUAGUAGGUGGGGUAACGGCUCACCUAGGCGACGAUCCCUAGCUGGUCUGAGAGGAUGACCAGCCACACUGGAACUGAGACACGGUCCAGACUCCUACGGGAGGCAGCAGUGGGGAAUAUUGCACAAUGGGCGCAAGCCUGAUGCAGCCAUGCCGCGUGUAUGAAGAAGGCCUUCGGGUUGUAAAGUACUUUCAGCGGGGAGGAAGGGAGUAAAGUUAAUACCUUUGCUCAUUGACGUUACCCGCAGAAGAAGCGCCGGCUAACUCCGUG